GACGAACGCUGGCGGCGUGCUUAACACAUGCAAGUCGAGCGGUAAGGCCCUUUCGGAGGUACACGAGCGGCGAACGGGUGAGUAACACGUGGGUGACCUGCCCUUAGCUCUGGGAUAAGCCUGGGAAACUGGGUCUAAUACCGGAUAUGACUCCAUAACGCAUGUUGUGGGGUGGAAAGCCUUGUGCGGCUAGGGAUGGGCCCGCGGCCUAUCAGCUUGUUGGUGGGGUGAUGGCCUACCAAGGCGACGACGGGUAGCCGGCCUGAGAGGGCGACCGGCCACACUGGGACUGAGACACGGCCCAGACUCCUACGGGAGGCAGCAGUGGGGAAUCUUGCGCAAUGGGCGAAAGCCUGACGCAGCGACGCCGCGUGGGGAUGACGGCCUCGG
This 390-nucleotide ribosomal RNA is filed under the name uncultured bacterium. RNAcentral describes it as "bacterial SSU rRNA". It matches the Rfam family "Bacterial small subunit ribosomal RNA", at positions 28 to 420 of the family's 1533-position model. The record is from RNAcentral.